AACGAGGAGAACUGAGGUGGUGGUGGUGGUGGGAAGUGGAAGGAAGGGCUCUCUCUCUGGAUGGACUGUGGAUGUCUGGAGCUACUUUUCUUUUUUUUCUUACAACACUGGCGGGCGAGGCGAUUCCUACAUUUUUUUUUUUCUUCUCUUCUUCUUCUUUCUUCUUUUGGGUUUUGGGGUUUGGGAGAGGGAGCGAGAUGAUCGAUGGAGAUUAGAUUAGAGAGGCAAGAGAGAGGCAAACGAGCGAACGCUUAUAUUCAUUCUACCAAAGCUGCUACAAAGAAGAGAGGCUGGAAAGGGAGCGUUUGGACAUGACGACGAUGACGUAGAGCUCCGAUCGCGUAAAUGUGAUUGAAUUGGAUACACAUACGUAGACAGCGAGCUCCUUUUUCGCGUUUGCAUCGUUGCCAUGCAAACGCAAAUCACUUUCGCGCUUGGAAAAGAUCCCCCCUUGAAAGUAAGAGAGAGAGAGAGAGAGAGAGAGAGAGAGAGGGAGAGGGAGAGGGAGAGAGAGAGAGAGGAGAGCUCCCCUUAGCCGCGAUUUUCAAAGCCGCAUAUAAAUAAAAACGUGGAUGUCAAAGGGA
Long non-coding RNA from Selaginella moellendorffii, 584 nucleotides. RefSeq lists it as uncharacterized. The record is from RefSeq and is a predicted model, not a curated record. NCBI's taxonomy places the organism in Eukaryota, Viridiplantae, Streptophyta, Lycopodiopsida, Selaginellales, Selaginellaceae. The transcript is spliced from 2 exons.